Long non-coding RNA from Brienomyrus brachyistius, 415 nucleotides. RefSeq lists it as uncharacterized. The transcript has 3 exons. Lineage: Eukaryota; Metazoa; Chordata; Actinopteri; Osteoglossiformes; Mormyridae. The record is from RefSeq and is a predicted model, not a curated record.
GGGUUUUAACAGGGUAAUAUGGCCCUGAAACAGUGGGGUUUUACCAGGGUAAGAUGGCCCUGAAAUAGUGGGGUUUUACCAGGGUAAGAUAGCCCUGAAACAGUGGGGUUUUACCAGGGUAAGAUAGCCCUGAAACAGUAGGGUUUUACCAGGGUAAGAUAGCCCUGAAACAGUGGGGUUUUACCAGGGUAAGAUAGCCCUGAAACAGUGGGGUUUUACCAGGGUAAGAUAGCCCUGAAACAGUGGGGUUUUACCAGGGUAAGAUAGCCCUGUAUCAGUGAGGUUUUACCUGGGAGAGACAGCUGUGUAACAGCAGGGUACUACAAGAAAAACCUUAACAAUUGACGUCUGGGAGCAGCUGCGCUGUUGCUCGGGGAAUACAGAGUUGCCUGUUCCUCCUCGCCAGUUGACAUUC